CCUACGGGAGGCAGCAGUGAGGAAUAUUGGUCAAUGGCCGAGAGGCUGAACCAGCCAAGUCGCGUGAAGGAAGACGGCCCUACGGGUUGUAAACCUCUUUUGUCGGGGAGCAAAACGAGUCACGUGUGCCUCAUUGCGUGUACCCGAUGAAUAAGCAUCGGCUAACUCCGUGCCAGCAGCCGCGGUAAUACGGAGGAUGCGAGCGUUACUCGGAUUUAAUGGGUGUAAAGGGUGCGCAGGCGGGGGGGCAAGUCAGAGGUGAAAUUGUGGGGCUUAACCCCAGAACUGCCUUUGAAACUGUAUCCCUUGAGUGCGCGAGAAGUAGGCGGAAUGCGUGGUGUAGCGGUGAAAUGCAUAGAGAUCACGAAGAACUCCGAUUGCGAAGGCAGCAUACUGGCGCGUAACUGACGCUGAUGCACGAAAGCGUGGGGAUCGAACAGGAUUAGAUACCCCUGUAGUC
RNAcentral lists this ribosomal RNA (460 nucleotides) under uncultured bacterium. Its description in RNAcentral is "partial 16S ribosomal RNA". It matches the Rfam family "Bacterial small subunit ribosomal RNA", at positions 338 to 795 of the family's 1533-position model. The record is from RNAcentral.